Long non-coding RNA from Mirounga angustirostris (Northern elephant seal), 421 nucleotides. RefSeq lists it as uncharacterized. NCBI's taxonomy places the organism in Eukaryota, Metazoa, Chordata, Mammalia, Carnivora, Phocidae. The record is from RefSeq and is a predicted model, not a curated record. The transcript has 4 exons.
CAGUGCUAGUACUGAAGAUGGGUAAUAAAGGACAGACUUGAGAGCUGUUUUGGAGAUAAAGCUAAGAGUCGGUGGUGAUUGGAUCAAGCAUGUCAACUCUAGAGGGAACCUGACCCAAAACAGUGAGUACCAGGAAUCAUUCCAAGAAGCAGACUCUAAAGAUGGGAUUCUGGAAGUGAAUCAGAGGCUGGCCAGAUGGUAAUGAGAACUCUCUCACUGAUGCGACUAUCAUCACCCUUAGGCUGUCCCUAAUGAGAUGCCUCCACUUGGAUAUCAGGAAAUGUUCCACAGCAAUUGCAUUAUUAAAACUGGACAUGUUCCAAAGGAGUUGUCAGAGACCAUAGCAAACUUGGAUUCAAUCUCAGUGAAAUAACUGCAAGGUAAUUGUCCCAAAGUCAUCCCCUUCUGGAUGUCUCAAUAA